UAGUGGCGAACGGGUGAGUAACACGUGGGCAAUCUGCCCUUCACUCUGGGACAAGCCCUGGAAACGGGGUCUAAUACCGGAUACGACCACCGACCGCAUGGUCUGGUGGUGGAAAGCUCCGGCGGUGAAGGAUGAGCCCGCGGCCUAUCAGCUUGUUGGUGGGGUGAUGGCCUACCAAGGCGACGACGGGUAGCCGGCCUGAGAGGGCGACCGGCCACACUGGGACUGAGACACGGCCCAGACUCCUACGGGAGGCAGCAGUGGGGAAUAUUGCACAAUGGGCGAAAGCCUGAUGCAGCGACGCCGCGUGAGGGAUGACGGCCUUCGGGUUGUAAACCUCUUUCAGCAGGGAAGAAGCGAGAGUGACGGUACCUGCAGAAGAAGCGCCGGCUAACUACGUGCCAGCAGCCGCGGUAAUACGUAGGGCGCAAGCGUUGUCCGGAAUUAUUGGGCGUAAAGAGCUCGUAGGCGGCUUGUCACGUCGGAUGUGAAAGCCCGGGGCUUAACCCCGGGUCUGCAUUCGAUACGGGCAGGCUAGAGUUCGGUAGGGGAGAUCGGAUUUCU
This 564-nucleotide ribosomal RNA is filed under the name Streptomyces sp. 337H10. RNAcentral's name for it is "bacterial SSU rRNA". It matches the Rfam family "Bacterial small subunit ribosomal RNA", at positions 93 to 670 of the family's 1533-position model. The record is from RNAcentral. Lineage: Bacteria; Bacillati; Actinomycetota; Actinomycetes; Kitasatosporales; Streptomycetaceae.